GAUGAAGAACGCAGCGAAAUGCGAUAAGUAGUGUGAAUUGCAGAAUUCAGUGAAUCAUCGAAUCUUUGAACGCACAUUGCGCUCUCUGGUAUUCCGGAGAGCAUGCCCGUUUCAGAAUCAGUGACAAUUCUCGCCGCUUCUUGGCUUUCAAAAGAAGGCUCGGAAGAGGUGGAUUUUGGAUGUGCUGUCUCUUCCCUCCUGGAAAGAGACUCGUCCGAAACUCAUGGUAAAUGCCGGGGUACCGCUCUGAGGAACCUUGCAAAGUAGCAACAAAAGCCUUCACCGGUUUGGAAUUUUCUCUUUGCAGAUGUCCUUUGCUUGCGAUAUCCACUGUGCUUUCCGACCCGCCUUUCAGCUUCUCGGCUUGGGCAAUUGGCUUUUGCCAAAAACUUGGUCUGAAAUCGGGCAAGAAAACCCGCUGAACUUAAGCAUAUCAAUAAGCGGAGGA
RNAcentral lists this unclassified non-coding RNA (448 nucleotides) under soil metagenome. RNAcentral describes it as "partial contains 5.8S ribosomal RNA, internal transcribed spacer 2, and large subunit ribosomal RNA". The stretch from base 1 to 120 matches the Rfam family "5.8S ribosomal RNA", at positions 35 to 154 of the family's 154-position model. The record is from RNAcentral.